Molecule: transfer RNA, 87 nt
Filed under: Helianthus annuus (common sunflower)
Lineage: Eukaryota; Viridiplantae; Streptophyta; Magnoliopsida; Asterales; Asteraceae
Description: tRNA HanXRQr2_Chr09g0377071
Rfam family: tRNA
About the family: Transfer RNA (tRNA) molecules are approximately 80 nucleotides in length. Their secondary structure includes four short double-helical elements and three loops (D, anti-codon, and T loops). Further hydrogen bonds mediate the characteristic L-shaped molecular structure. tRNAs have two regions of fundamental functional importance: the anti-codon, which is responsible for specific mRNA codon recognition, and the 3' end, to which the tRNAs corresponding amino acid is attached (by aminoacyl-tRNA synthetases). tRNAs cope with the degeneracy of the genetic code in two manners: having more than one tRNA (with a specific anti-codon) for a particular amino acid; and 'wobble' base-pairing, i.e. permitting non-standard base-pairing at the 3rd anti-codon position.
Source: RNAcentral
CUGUCAGGAUGGCCGAGUGGUCUAAGGCGCCAGACUCAAGUUCUCGUCUUCGAGAGAGGUCGUGGGUUCAAAUCCCACUUCUGACAA